CAUUCUCCUUAGCUCUCUUUGGUUAGAUGUCUCGCUCGUUGUCUGCACCGCUUAGAUGGCAGGCUUCAGGAACAUGGCCACACAGCCCGAAAGACACACAACAACCCUGUGAUCCUGGCCAUGAAAGCCUUCGACAACACAUUUUCCAUGCAAUGUUUUGUUGUGCCAGCUCUAGUUUGUAGUGCGGUUUUCUUGUACUGGUUUUUUUGUCUGCUGUGCUUUGAGGAGUUUCUGAUUUUUGACUUCAAUCAAAGCAGGUUCUUCACUAUUAUUAUUAUUAUUAUUAUUAUUAUUAUUAUUAUUAUUAUUAUUAUUAUUAGGGUUCAAGGAAAUAUCAUAGGGAAACACAGUGAGGUCGAGAUCCUUCCCUAAACCAUUUUUCUCUUUAGUUUAAAAUGAAGGAGAAAAAACGCUUUUGCUUUCCAGAAGGAAAAUUCCUAAACCCGAGACGCUUGAUAAGUGACGGCGGCCAAGGUGCAUUUGGAAGAGAAUGCGGGUAUUGACAAACUUAAAGGAUUAGAUGAUUGUGAGUUUUGGGAGGAAGAACGUUGCUCUAUUUUGGAGGGCAAUUUUGUGUAACUCAGAACUUUAAUACAUGGAAAAUGGCCUCAUUGAGGCUAAUGAAACUGACAUCUGGUGCUUGGAAUGAGCCAAGUUAUGCUCGGGCGGAGGUCACAAGGUGAGUUGCCGAGUCAGUAAAUGAAACGGGCCCAGAGAUCACAUGGACGGCGGAUCACAUUUCUGAACAUGUCAGGUUGACGUCUCAUCAUACACAAAUCACCACUGUUCUAAAUGAGUUGUAAUAGGCAGCUCACUUUGAAUGGUGGGGCUUUAACAGGCUGCCUUUCUCCAAGGGGACAAUCUUUGGUUUUCUAAGAGCGACGAGAGAUACCUUUUCUUUCCUUUCUUUUUUUAAGGUGCUUAGCUGGAAUGGCAACAGGUAACAAGUCAGAACUGAUUAUCACCGGACAAAGAGCUACCAGAACUAAAUAAAGGGGCUAUUUUAAUGCAAUUUAUUUACUAUAUUUCUAUCCCACUCUCGCUCACCCCAAAGGGGACUCAGAGUGGCUUCCAAAUUGGCAAUAAUUCAGUGCCAAACAAACAUAAACAAUCAAAUACAAUAUACAUUAAAAUCAGUAAAAAAUUAAAAAAUCAUAGCAUAUCUAUAUCUAUAUAUAUAAAAGAGUGAUGGCAUCACGGCGACCCACAAAACAACAAAACUACAGGCCCCCCAACCUCGAAAUUUGACAACACAACCCAUCAUCCACAGCUCUAGGUUGAUACAACAAAAAGAAAAGAAAAAUAAAGUCCUAAUUAGUGAGAGAGGAAUAAUUGCUUUUAUCCAAUUGCUGCCAGUUAGAAGGCUAAGCUCCUCCAACUUGGUCUCCUAGCAACCCAAUAAAAAAUAAUAAAAAACACUAAAAAAAUAAUUAAAAACACUAAAAAAAAUUAAUACAACAAAAUACUAUAAUAACAGAAAAUAACUUAAAAUAAGACAAUAAAAUAAUACAAUAUAAAAAAUAAAAAGAUAACUUACAAUAAAAUUAAUU
RNAcentral lists this long non-coding RNA (1550 nucleotides) under Anolis carolinensis (green anole). Its description in RNAcentral is "lncRNA (ENSACAG00000037185.1)". The record is from RNAcentral. Lineage: Eukaryota; Metazoa; Chordata; Lepidosauria; Squamata; Anolidae.